UACCUGGAUCUACGCUCAUCGCCACGCUUCUGUGGAAUAUCUGGAAGUCCCGCAAUCGGUUUAUCUUUCGUCAUCAGAGUCCUGCUCCAUCCUUUGUUAUAGCUGAAGCUCACAGUCAGGUCUGUAUUGCUGCCAUCUCUUCUGCUUCUGUGGAUCGACCGCAUUCAGAUCUGGACAGCUUAUGGCGUCCGCCUGAUUCAGGAGUUCUUAAGUUGAAUGUAGAUGGGGCUUUCAAGCCAGGCAAUGAUCGGGGAUUAGUCGCCUUCGUUUGCCGAGAUCAUAAAGGAAAAAUCAUUGAAGGACUUACCAAGACCGUAACCGCGUCGUCUGCUUUGCAGGUGGAAGCUCAAGCUUUGUGUUUUGCUCUCAAUCAUUUGAUCAACUCAAACCGAACCUCUGAUCCCGUGCUUAUUGAAUCUGACUGCCUGGUUUUGGUGGACGCCGUGCACGAUCCUCUUCUGUCGCCAUGGGAGGUUCACCCCUUCAUAGCCGAAGCUGCGUUUCUUCUUUCUCGCCUCGUCAAAUCGCGAUUUUCGUUUUGCCCUAGAACGGCCAAUGCUGCUGCGGAUUGGGCUGCUAAGGCCCAUGACAAUGGUUUUUUGAUGCCUUCUUGGGCUUCCUUUCCUCCGGCUCCUUUGCUC
This 641-nucleotide long non-coding RNA is filed under the name Eucalyptus grandis. RNAcentral describes it as "long non-coding RNA (EGRA_LNC001703)". The record is from RNAcentral. Lineage: Eukaryota; Viridiplantae; Streptophyta; Magnoliopsida; Myrtales; Myrtaceae.